This 705-nucleotide long non-coding RNA is filed under the name Monodelphis domestica (gray short-tailed opossum). Its description in RNAcentral is "lncRNA (ENSMODG00000038787.1)". Lineage: Eukaryota; Metazoa; Chordata; Mammalia; Didelphimorphia; Didelphidae. The record is from RNAcentral.
UGAGGCAGAGAGAGGAUAUUGGAAAUUAGUCUAAUCAAUGUGAAAAGAAUCUGACUGCAAGUCUAAGGGUGACAUUUUUCUUCUAAAAAAUCUCCUGUACUCUGUCCUUCUUUCUCCACAUUGGGAGUACUGUAAGUACCAAUACAAGAAAAUAUUUAAGGGGAAUCCUAUUGCUAAUUUUAGCUAUUUAAAAAAAUAGCAGGGAUUAAAAUCUAUUUAUGGAACCAAGAUGUCCGAGUAAUCAUCAGCAACUCUGUGACACCAUGAGAAUCCUCUCUAACCAAGAUUAAAAUAUCACCACCAAAUGAAUACAAGAGUGAAAGAACCAUCAAGUAGACAGAGUAAAACAACUUUCAAGAAAAGAAAAACCCAAAAGUUCUUUGCCACCACUGCUCUGGAUGUCCUUCAAGACAGUUAAUUUAUUUUAUAAGCAAAUAUGAUAUUCUGAAGUUAUCUCCAACAAUAGAAUAAGGACAUAUGAGGAAGAGGAUGUGAUGACCCCUCCAUAUUGGACUUGGAAACUAGAGUCAAUCUUUGGUGCUAACAGCCUCCCCCUUUCUCAAGAAGUCAGACAACAUGGUAUAGACUGUGCAUAUAUUAUCAUAUUAUACAUAUUUCCCUGUUUAUUGGGUUCUGAAACAAGAUAUAUUGCUUACACUAGACAAAAAUUCAUGGAAGAAAUAAAGUGAAGAGUGGUAUAUUUCA